GAGAAUGAGGGCACUUUAAAAGUUUACCAAGCUUUGAAAGCACAGCCUGAAUUAAUGUCUCUAACAAGGUGUUUUCAGGUGGCUCACAGUCUACAGAAGAUCUGUGAUUCUGUAUCUUUUUAUAUGACUCCGUUUGACUUAUGUUUGUUAACGGUGGGAUGCUGGCUUCAUGUUCAACACAGGAUUUCUGCUGCUGGGGAUCUGGAAUUGGAUUGUUUUCUGCUUUUGCAGCACUGUGUUGGUCAGCAUUUUGACAGCGUUCUUCUGUGUUAGCUGUUUCUUGGCUGUUAGCAUCUAUAUUCUGUGCUGUAUCAAACUCCUGCUCAGCAGAAUCGUCCAAAAAUUUCACAGGUGACAAAAACGUUUUGCCAGUGGUGGUGUGGACAGAACAGUUUUGAUGUACAGGGGAGUUCUGGGAAGACCUCAGUGGUGAUACUGCUCCUGACUGUUCACACAGGUCCAUUACGUCCUCUACAAAACCUGCAAGCCGCUUAGCGGUGGAGCAAUCCGGAUAGCCUGAGGAAAUAGUCAGGACCCAGAUGAACCUGUGCUGGAAUUCAGUGUGGGCUAGGGCCUAUUAUAUGCUGUAGCCUGAAGGCAGCUGAGUUGCAGAGGAUGGAGUGAUCACUGGCUUUCUACUUACAGGGUGGUGGGUCUCAGAGGACAAUUGCUACCCCUGUUGAAGUGAACAACGUGUGGAGUGCAACUGGCUUUGUGGCAUAGCUGGCUCUGGCCUUGGACUGUGUGUUUUUACUUUGUACCUAAAUGGGACACUGGACUUUUAACUAUUAUUCAUUGUGUUUAUAAAUAAAAUUUUAGAAUUUUAUUGACUGUCAUCUUUUUGCCCACCGCGGAGACGGUUGGUCAGACCUAGAAUCUCUUUAUGUGUGUGUGUGUGUGUAACAUCAGCAGGGUUUCGCAUAAAAGAGUGUGAGCAGGUCAAAAGGUCAAUUCAUUUAUUGUAGUUUUAUGGCAGCACCUUCUAGUGGCCUUGAAGCAAACAGUCUCCUAACUAAGCCAUGGCAUCUCCGGUCUCUCCUACUUUUGUGUGCUGUGCUGGAGGAGCAGCAUUGGAUCUAGUGAUACUGAGUAAGCUGAUUAGGACCGGCCUGGAGAAAUGUGGUUUGCAUGAAGUAUCAGGAGAAAAACAACCUUGUAUUGUAAAAUAAUAAUACACGAAUAAUAAAUACUUUUCAUGACAUUCAGAUUUCUGGACUCACGAGUUCAUAGAACAUUAAUGUUACGAAACAUUGAGAUAAGUCUUAAAACUACAUUGUAUACUUAUUAUUUAUUUACUUUAAUCAGAUUUGACUGGUAUUUUUAAACAUUAAGUUUUUGUUCCUUCAACUAUUGUAUUUAAGCUUAUGACUCACUCACAGUAUGUUUAUAUAACUGUCUAAAACAGUGAGGAUGUGGCCGCAGUGGCUGAGAAGCAAGAAGUUUGCUUUUUCUUUUUUUUUUCUUUUUUUUAAAUUGGGAAGCAUAAAUGAACAUACCAGAAAACCCUGCACGAAGGAGCCAUAUUUGUUUUUUGUGUGUGCAUAAGAUGAAGCUUUAGUAUUAUUACACAUAUGAUAAUGGUGUUAGCAUGCAACACACAAACUCAAGUGGUGUUGCCAAGAUAGUUGCUGACUGGCAAGAAACUUCUAGAAGAAAUCUGGUGACAGUCCAAAGCACAAAUGAACAUGUUUAAUACUCGUGCAAGACCCUGUGGGAAGGUGCCAGAUUGCUGUAUUUUGUGUGAAUCAGGAAAAGUGCACGGUGAUGACUAAAGCUUAUAAAACAUCUCUCUCCUUAUGUGUGCAUAUAUGAGAAAGAAAAUUCUGCCAAAGCAACUUUAGCUUCUUGCAAGCAUCAGUACACAAAGGAUGCUAACACAAAGCUAGCCAAGAACCAAGAGUGAUUUUAAAGUUGAACGUAUGCCGACCCCAGCAUCCAAAGGGAGCUCAGGGGAGAGCUUCUUGGGGUCCAGUGAUGUGUCCUGAAGAGACGACAUGAGCUCUCCCUCCUGUAGGCCCACCCCAGCAGUAGGUGCUGUCUGUCUCAUUCCGAGUUAACUGCUACUCCUCUACAUCUAAACGAGCCAGUUGAGGAGGUUCAGGCAUCUGACAAGGGUGCCUCUUGAGCGCCUCCUGGGUGAGAUGUUCCAGGCAUGUCCCACCAGGACAGACAGGACACACCCAGGACAUGUUGGGGAGAUCACAGCACUCAGCAGAGAAUGCCUCAGUGUCCCCCAAAUAAUGGAGGAGCUGGCUCGGGAGAGUAAGGUCUGGGUCUUCUCUGCUUAUGCUACUGCCACCGAAACUAGACACCAGGUAAGCUCAGAAAAAUGAACAACCUGUUUAAAUAAAGGUUAAUUUAAAAAAAAAUGUUUGUCAUUAGCUAGUCUGUGUACAUGUACUUCUUCUCCAGUGUUGAAAAUGUUAAACUCACAACCUGCACAUUUUCUGGUUGCAUCAUCAAAUAAAUACCCCCAAAAGUAGUCUGAGUACUUUUACACUGGUUUUAUGCUGCGAUAUUUUCAAAGUCUUUCACUGAACACAUUCAGUCACACAUUGUUCAUAAUUUAUUGGAAGUUUAUUGUUUAAUGUCCUGUCUAAAUAACUUCAGUCACCAUUUGUAUUCAUUAAUGAAUAACUGACUUCUAAUAUUAAAAGAAAUAGAAACUGUUGUGCUGUUGUUCACGUAGAAGGGCCUGCUUCUGGAUGUCCAGACUUUGUGCGUCAGUGGGAAGGUCAGGGUACAGGGUUCGAACCUCCUCAUGAGAUGUCGUAUCUGCUGGAUAAAAGCAAGCUACAUCACAUCAGGGAUUGUCCUAGAGCUGCCCUACAGUAACAAUCAACUGACUAAUAUAUGAAAUACUUGCAGUAGCACAAUAAUAAACACAAAGCAAAAAAAUG
Molecule: non-coding RNA, 2900 nt
Organism: Maylandia zebra (zebra mbuna)
Lineage: Eukaryota; Metazoa; Chordata; Actinopteri; Cichliformes; Cichlidae
Source: RefSeq, a predicted model, not a curated record